UACGUAGGUGGCAAGCGUUGUCCGGAUUUAUUGGGCGUAAAGGGCGCGCAGGCGGUUCGUUAAGUUCGAGGUGAAAUCUCCUGGCUCAACUGGGAGGGGUCUUCGGAUACUGGCGGACUUGAGGAGAGCAGAGGUGAGUGGAAUUCUGGGUGUAGUGGUGAAAUGCGUAGAUAUCCAGAGGAACACCGGUGGCGAAGGCGGCUCUCUGGAACGGUACUGACGCUGAGACGCGAAAGCGUGGGGAGCGAACAGG
RNAcentral lists this ribosomal RNA (253 nucleotides) under uncultured bacterium. RNAcentral describes it as "partial 16S ribosomal RNA". It matches the Rfam family "Bacterial small subunit ribosomal RNA", at positions 524 to 776 of the family's 1533-position model. The record is from RNAcentral.